GAUGAACGCUAGCGAUAGGCUUAACACAUGCAAGUCGAGGGGCAGCACAAGGUAGCUUGCUAUCUGGGUGGCGACCGGCGCACGGGUGCGUAACGCGUAUGCAACUUGCCCUAUACAGGAGGAUAACCCGUCGAAAGACGGACUAAUACUGCGUAUGCUCACAACUUGGCAUCAAGUGGUGAGGAAAGAAAUUCGGUAUAGGAUAGGCAUGCGUCCCAUUAGCUUGUUGGUGAGGUAACGGCUCACCAAGGCAACGAUGGGUAGGGGAACUGAGAGGUUUAUCCCCCACACUGGUACUGAGACACGGACCAGACUCCUACGGGAGGCAGCAGUGAGGAAUAUUGGUCAAUGGGCGCGAGCCUGAACCAGCCGAGUCGCGUGAAGGAUGACUGUCUUAUGGAUUGUAAACUUCUUUUAUACGGGAAUAACAAGAGUCACGUGUGACUCCCUGCAUGUACCGUAUGAAUAAGCAUCGGCUAACUCCGUG
This 487-nucleotide ribosomal RNA is filed under the name uncultured bacterium. Its description in RNAcentral is "partial 16S ribosomal RNA". It matches the Rfam family "Bacterial small subunit ribosomal RNA", at positions 28 to 507 of the family's 1533-position model. The record is from RNAcentral.